Molecule: ribosomal RNA, 497 nt
Filed under: uncultured bacterium
Lineage: Bacteria
Description: partial 16S ribosomal RNA
Rfam family: Bacterial small subunit ribosomal RNA
Source: RNAcentral
GAUGAACGCUGGCGGCGUGCCUAAUACAUGCAAGUCGAGCGAACAGACGAGGAGCUUGCUUCUCUGACGUUAGCGGCGGACGGGUGAGUAGCACGUGGAUAACCUACCUAUAAGACUGGGAUAACUUCGGGAAACCGGAGCUAAUACCGGAUAAUAUAUUGAACCGCAUGGUUCAAUAGUGAAAGACGGUUUUGCUGUCACUUAUAGAUGGAUCCGCGCCGCAUUAGCUAGUUGGUAAGGUAACGGCUUACCAAGGCAACGAUGCGUAGCCGACCUGAGAGGGUGAUCGGCCACACUGGAACUGAGACACGGUCCAGACUCCUACGGGAGGCAGCAGUAGGGAAUCUUCCGCAAUGGGCGAAAGCCUGACGGAGCAACGCCGCGUGAGUGAUGAAGGUCUUCGGAUCGUAAAACUCUGUUAUUAGGGAAGAACAAAUGUGUAAGUAACUAUGCACGUCUUGACGGUACCUAAUCAGAAAGCCACGGCUAACUACGUG